Zingiber officinale is the source of this 598-nucleotide long non-coding RNA. RefSeq lists it as uncharacterized. The transcript has 4 exons. Lineage: Eukaryota; Viridiplantae; Streptophyta; Magnoliopsida; Zingiberales; Zingiberaceae. The record is from RefSeq and is a predicted model, not a curated record.
UGAUUCUAUUUCCAUUUUGAUAUCAGGUUCAUAAGCAGGGUGUUGCACUUGGAAGAUCUGUUGACUUGACAAAGUUUGAUGGUUAUGACCAAUUGAUUGAGGAGUUAGAUCAGCUAUUUGAAUUCAAAGGAGAAUUGAUGGCUCCAAAUAAAAAUUGGAUGAUUGUAUUUACUGAUAAUGAGGAUGAUAUGAUGCUUGUUGGAGAUGACCCUUGGCAGGAAUUUUGUGCUAUGGUCCGUCAGAUUUUUAUAUACACAAAAGAGGAGGUCCAGAAGAUGGAUUCAAGUACCUUGAACCCAAAAAAUGAAGAUUGUCCUGAUAUGAAAGAGAAUGUCAAGGAAACAAAAGGCAGUCAAUCUGCAUCAUCAUCUAAUUCAAAAAACUCAUAGGCUUAUCCUGCAAUGAUCUUGAAGCACAAACAAAGUGAUUGUUUGUGCUUUAUCUAAGUGAUUGUUUGAACAGUUUUAUAGCAUGCAUCUUGACAAUUAAUAUAAUUUUGAAGAUCACUAUCAAGGAAGAAUGUUCAAAGGAAAGUAAAGGCUAAGGAGAAGAUCACGUAAUUAACUACACGGGUCUAGUGAAAAUACUGAAGAAGUAU